This is a long non-coding RNA of Myxocyprinus asiaticus (Chinese sucker), 1722 nucleotides long. RefSeq lists it as uncharacterized. The record is from RefSeq and is a predicted model, not a curated record. The transcript is spliced from 3 exons. NCBI's taxonomy places the organism in Eukaryota, Metazoa, Chordata, Actinopteri, Cypriniformes, Catostomidae.
UUUAAUUCCAACAUUGUCAGUUCUUGUUCGUUGUUUAUAGUUACAUAGUUUAUGGUAACCCAAACGGCUGUCUUGUUUUGUAACCUUAGUCAUCGUCUUCUGUGUAUCCUCGCUUUCUUAUCAUUGUGAAUUAAAGGACUGCUGCACUUAUAUCCUGCCUCAUUUCUACGAAACGUGACAAUAUUACUAUUUCUUGUGUUCUGACAAUUUUACAUAUUUUAAUUUUUUAUGUACGCUUACGCUGUAUUUUUCUUUGCUUUUGUUUCCAAGUUCUGCGCUUGGUUUUCCAAAACUUGUGAGGUGAGUUUCAUGUAAAUCAGGGGGUGUUUUGCGUCACUAUUGGUCCACUAGUUCUUGAUCGACAGCUCCUCUAGCCAAUCAGUGGAAGAGGGGGAGGUGACGUCACUUUAGUGCGACUCCGACGGCUGUCGCUCAAUAUUAUAUUAUUUGUGGUUGAUAGAUACGCUGCUUGUGUCUGUUUUGAGGAUUUUCUGCAGCUCUAGGAAACAAUGUGUUGUCCGAGUAGGUCAUUAUCAUAGUUCGUUAACACAUGUAUCGAGUCAGAUUAAUUUAGUUAGAGUCUUUAGGCAUUAUUUAAGACUUCCUUGUUUGUAGGUUAUUGGCUGCAUAUCUAAAAAAAACACAACUUGAUCUAUUUUUAAUAAGCAUCUUUUGUAAGUAAGUUGUGUAAGAAAGCAGGGAGAGAAGGAUAUCGAAACAAUUGAAGGUUAAAGGAAAAGAUUAAUUAAAUCAUGAGUGCAUUACAGUUCAGUAAGUGGCGAUAUACACAGACUGAAUCACCAAAAACCAAAAGAAGAAGAUCUGAAAGAUAGAUGGUGAUAAACAUCAUCAUGUUGUAACAGACUGAACACGGAAACAAAGACGAGAAACACGUGUCAGUGAAUCACACGGUCAUUAAAGGUAGUUUUUCCUCACUAUAGGUAGUUUGGACUGAUGUAAAUAAAUCCACACCAGCGUAUUUGAAAAGCUCCAGAAAGUUGCAGUCGUUUCUCUACUGAAGGAUGUCUGAACAGAUGGAGAGUUCACUGACUGGCCCGUAUCUCUUCCGGAACAAUCAACCAAUGACCAGCACUUCUGUUUAUGUCUGCUGAAUGUAUAGAACAUGUCAGGAUUUCAGUUUCCUGCAUUUCAUGCUUUCUCUACAGGCUCAAUAAAGGGUGUGACUCUAUAAAUGAUCUAAAAUGAAUCAAAUAUAGCAGGGUAAACUUCUGUAGUAAUGAAUGGGAGACCACAGCAAAUAUAGUCUUUGUGUUCCCAUUUGCUCCAACAGCAAAAUAAAAAAAUCCACUAUUACGUUUCCAUGACUUUCCAAAAGAGGAAAUAAUAGAGAUGAUGACGGUCAGAAGAGAGAAAGAUUAGAAACCCCAACACAACAGCGAUGACUAGUUUACUGGAUUUAUUUAUAUUAAUGUCAGGGUAAUAUAACACAAAGCACAGUCAUAUAAAUAUACUUUAUAUUCUUUAAGAAAUAAGAAAAGGUUUGUUAGAUUUACUCUAUUAAAUGAAUAUGGAAAUACAUAAGAUGUGUGAAAACGUCUGUUCUUGGCAGGUCUUUACACACACUCUUCAUAACCAGAUGAGACUAUGUGCACGUGUCUGCUGGUCUGCAAAAUUGUGCAUUAUCAAAGAAUAUCAAAAGGACUAUUGUGUAAAUGAUGAAUUAUUUGAAAGAGCAAAUAAAAUGACUGGAGUCUUGAUAUA